This is a long non-coding RNA of Mauremys mutica (yellowpond turtle), 3645 nucleotides long. RefSeq lists it as uncharacterized. NCBI's taxonomy places the organism in Eukaryota, Metazoa, Chordata, Testudines, Geoemydidae. The transcript has 7 exons. The record is from RefSeq and is a predicted model, not a curated record.
CUGCUCUACGGAACCCGUCACACGGGUGACGCCCGGCCCAGAGAACCCCCUGCACAGAGGCCUGCGUUCCAUCUCCUGGGAGGGUAGCUCCAAAGGACACCCAGCGCCUGGAUCGGAGGGGUCGCUUUAGUUUCUGUGAGGCUUAUUUCAAAUAAGAAAAAUGUCCCUAAAAGGCAGUGGUAGCUCAUUCACUCCUGCCCCUGGCUCUCUCAAUGUGAGAUGUCAACUCCAAUUAAAAGCUUAUUUAUUUUCAAAUGAAACGAUCAUGCUACUGGGAAACAAACAAUAGGAGCGAAAUCUGUGGCCUAAUUCAUUAAAAGCGCAAAUUACCAAGGAGUUGCUUGGAAAGGGGAGCCAGUGGAGAAGGCGAGCACAGAACAUGUCAUGGGAGAGAGAGAGCUGUCACAGCCGGUUUGGGCGAGCUAGAGGCACGUCAACAGAUUAAACUCUCCAUUUCAGUGUUUCCUUCGCAUGAACCGAGAGAAGACAGAGGAUCUUCCCGACUAGCGGCCAGAGUAGGCUGCCCUUUAAAUACAUGUAUAGAAAUCUCUUCCUAUUUAGCAAUAGCACGGUUCCCAUUUUUAGUGCAUUGUUGCAUUCCCCAGAUAAAAUCUAACACUCCUGGAGGAAAGGUGUAAUAUCUGUCACGAAGAUUUCUCUUUUCAGUACACAAUACUUGGGCUUUUCUUUUUUUGAAGAAUUACGUUUAUGACUGAUCACUCAACACCUUGUUGGCUCUGAUUGCAGAAAACCCACCUUAUAAAUAUAUGAUAACCACCCUGUAAUAGGGAGUGUGACAAUUUACUUCACAGUGCAUUUCAGGCUGCUAAUUGAUCGUUUCAGUCCAGGACUAUGCGGAAUAAAUUAUAGCCAUCAAAAGGAUAUCACAGUUCAUUUUGGUAGAAUGGUUUCUGUGUCACUUCUUGUUCGUCUUUUGCCCAGUAGCUGCAUUAGCCUCAUGUGUUGUUUUGUUAUUACUAGCUGUUUCCAUGUCAGAAAUGCAAAUCUGAGAAUGAACACUAGAGGCCGCUCUAUUUGCAUACUUCUACCACGAUCAGGCGCGUGGUCUGCCUACACCAGCCAAAGAGUAAGAAGGUUUGAAUCAGAAACCUCACAAUUAAAAGGCUUUGAAUCAUUUGGAGAAGGCCAGUUGGACUUACAAGAGAGUAAGUACCGAAUAUCCUUUACUACCAUCCAGGUUAGCGAGAGUUAAAAGGGACGCAUAUUUGCCAUAGACUUUUGACAACGAUCAUGAUUUUCCCUCCCAUUAUGAAUUACAGCUUUAUUGUCUGAUCAUAAGAGUGGGUGUGUGGCUCUUAUCAUUUUGCUACCGUAAACUAUUCGAUAAAAACUGGUUUUAUUUCUUCCCUUCCAGUCUUUUCUCUCCCUCCUCGCUGUAAAUUUAUAAAAGCUAUACUAAUCAGUUUACGAUCUAAGACCAAAGAUUCAAGUUACCACAAAUGCAGGGAAAGGAAGAAGGAAAAAAGAAGGGACUAAAGUAUUGAAAUUCAAGAUCAAAUACCCACAGGAAAUGCUUACAGUUACUAUUUGUAUGAUUACAUGUAUAUGUAUCCUUUAUUCUCUGUAGUUUUUGCCCUUUAAUAAAUUAUGGGUUGCAGAAAACAUGCUAUAAACUAACUCGUAAUAUACAAAAGAUUCACUAAAAUCCGUGAAUAAUCUGAGGUAAACCCAUAGUAGCCCAGAAAUUCAAGAUCUCUUAAUUAUCUUCGUAAAUCACUAUCUGUAUAUUGUAGUAUUUAUGGUACCGGAAUUCACCUACUCUUUUCAAUCCCCUCAAGUACCCCUACAUCUAUAGGUGAGGUAGACUAGAGCAGGUCAGGGCUGAUCAAGAGCGAAAUUGAGCGGUUCUGGCAAGCUCAUGAGUGAAGUGGGGACGCUUGUCAGUAAGAGAGGCUGAAGUCUGUCCAUUUGUAUGUUAUACAUCAUUUCUUUAUUACGUUGCAUUCGAUGUUCCGUGCUCGACCACAUAUUAGAACGAGACUGUUUCAUACACAGUGAGGAUGCAGGGGAAUUUCUCUCCCCGGUUUGCUCUGGCCUAAUGAAAUGGUUUGAUUUAAAAAGAAGAAAAAAGGCGCGCCCAAAGACUCUUCUCUCCUCCGUCUUCCCUCAGAAUUGCUUCUAAGUAAAGCUUUUUCAAAGAUCAAAGGGCCUGAUCCUGCCGUCUUUGCACCAAAGGGAGUUUGCCUCCCAUCAUGAGAAUUUUGCCUGAGUGAGAACUGCAGGAUUUAGUUCACAGUGUGCUCAGAAUCUCCCUUCAAUCCUCAGCACAUAAAUGGAAGCACAGAUAGGAUCUCUGACAUGGCACACAGAAGCAAUCCAUAUUAUGGUCCACUCUUGAAUUUCUUACUCAGACAAAAUCUGCACUAAUUUCAUUAUUUGUGUUAACACCUGGUUCAGAAGAGCUUUUACCAUCUGUCAGGCACAACAGAAGCACGUCGGCUGAUCCCCUCUAACGCGUGUAAAGACAAGCGAUAAUAUCCAGGGGGAGAAUAUCAGGAGAACCGAGCAUCAAACCCACCUGACUCCACUAUUUCUUCUCGAAAUAGUGAUUGUGAUGAGGAGAAAAUUGUGAAGAAGCGGAUGGGUGCAAUUGGGAAACUUACCCGGAGUCCAUGACAGUGUGUCUGUCUAAUGAUCGACUCUGGCUGUUGUGUGAGAACCAUUUUGGUUUUAUUACUGGUGGUGAUACUACUUUUCAACCUUGGAAGCUGUCCUCUGCCUUGGAAGAUUCAGCAGAAAGACUGCCAGCACCGUCAUUGACAGAAAGAGGAGGCUGGGUUGAACAGUGAAUGCAGAAUUGGGCCCCACAACUAAUGCAUAGCUUUGGUACAUAUCAAGAUUUUACCUCACCUCCUAGGUGUUCCAGGGGAUAUCCCUCCUAUAUUGUGGAAAGAAUAUAAGAUGAGCUUCACAAUUUCAUUGUGGUCGCUUUCAUAUGCAGGAAGCUUUUCAGUUUAAGAGAAAAUCUGAAUGUCACUUUCAUAUAACACAAAUAUUAUAAAAGCAGUAUGUGUGUGUCAGCAUUUCAGUGUGUAUUUUAAAGGGCUUCUAAUGUGAGGAAAAACACGCAAUGACAAGUGUGGAAAAGAGCAAGCACUAAAUUACUGUCAGAAAAAUAAACGCAGUAGCGCUGCUGCACGGUGAUUUACGGGGGCAAUUAGCCACCACCCCACAGAGCUGCUGAGGACAGCACUGCUGCCUGCAGAAGUGUCAGGCAAAGAGGAAGAGGAGCUUUGGCUUUGCCUUUCCAGACAACUUUUCACAAAACGAGAGGGCGAUGGGGAAGGGGGCGGGGGGCAGCAUAUGCUGUAGCACGUCCUUGUUCCGUGUGUAGCUAACCCUUCCCACCCACCCCCAAACUUGACUCCCACACAAAGUGUGUUGAGCACGGCAGUCACCUGCGGUGUGGCCGCGAGGGGGGCGCUCCAGCGGCAGGGCUCUCCUGGUGCCCAGGCAAAGUUGUAUUUUUAAAUCCCCACUCCGCCUCCCCAGCGAUCCUUCCCCGCCGGGCCUUGUCGCCUCCCAUCUUGCAGCCACGGGCUUCGCAUUACAAAAAAAAAAAUCUCCGUGGAGUUUGUGUUCUUUAGGAAUCUGGAGUGGUCUGCAAAUCUGCUUGUUUAUCAU